This 258-nucleotide ribosomal RNA is filed under the name uncultured Oscillospiraceae bacterium. RNAcentral's name for it is "partial 16S ribosomal RNA". It matches the Rfam family "Bacterial small subunit ribosomal RNA", at positions 83 to 339 of the family's 1533-position model. Lineage: Bacteria; Bacillati; Bacillota; Clostridia; Eubacteriales; Oscillospiraceae. The record is from RNAcentral.
AAGCAGAGGACAGUGGCGGACGGGUGAGUAACGCGUGAGGAACCUGCCUUUCAGAGGGGGACAACAGUUGGAAACGGCUGCUAAUACCGCAUAACACAUUUGGGUGGCAUCACCUGGAUGUCAAAGGAGCAAUCCGCUGAGAGAUGGGCUCACGUCUGAUUAGCUAGUUGGUGAGGUAACGGCUCACCAAGGCGACGAUCAGUAGCCGGUCUGAGAGGAUGAACGGCCACAUUGGGACUGAGAUACGGCCCAGACUCC